Xiphias gladius (swordfish) is the source of this 271-nucleotide long non-coding RNA. RefSeq lists it as uncharacterized. NCBI's taxonomy places the organism in Eukaryota, Metazoa, Chordata, Actinopteri, Istiophoriformes, Xiphiidae. The transcript has 3 exons. The record is from RefSeq and is a predicted model, not a curated record.
CUAACGUUUACGGUACCAAGUUCAGAGAAGUGACAGACAAGAGGACCUGAAGACACAGAAUGGAGCAAGACAAAGAGGCUGGAGACAGGUGCUCUGGUACCUUGACACAUCUGGAGGACGGGGGCUGUAUGUUGACAAAACGCGACCAAUGAAAACCAAUAAUGUGUGAGGAAGGGUGUGGUAUUGAAGACAGAAUCCUGCAUUGUUCACAUCUGUCACAGUGUGCUUCCAAGAUCCCCUUGGCUCCUGUCUUUAGCCUUGUUCAAUACCC